Long non-coding RNA from Seriola dumerili (greater amberjack), 107 nucleotides. RefSeq lists it as uncharacterized. NCBI's taxonomy places the organism in Eukaryota, Metazoa, Chordata, Actinopteri, Carangiformes, Carangidae. The transcript has 3 exons. The record is from RefSeq and is a predicted model, not a curated record.
AGAUGGUGAAGAACCAGACAAUCCUCCAUCCUGCAGGAGCUAACCUUGGCAAAGCAGACACGAGGAAUCAGUCCAAGGUCUUCGCCUAUGAUUACUGUUUCUGGUCU